This 103-nucleotide microRNA precursor is filed under the name Marmota monax (woodchuck). Lineage: Eukaryota; Metazoa; Chordata; Mammalia; Rodentia; Sciuridae. The record is from RNAcentral.
AAUGGGAUAGUUGGAUCAAAUGGUGGUUUUAUUCCAACUUUUCUGAGGAAUUUCCAUACUGCUUUCCAGAGUGGUUGUACCAGUUUGAAGUCCCACUAGCAAU